CGGGUGAGUAAUGCGUGACCAACCUGCCCCAUGCUCCAGAAUAGCUCUUGGAAACGGGUGGUAAUGCUGGAUGCUCCAACUUGACGCAUGUCUUGUUGGGAAAGUGUUUAGUGGCAUGGGAUGGGGUCGCGUCCUAUCAGCUUGUAGGCGGGGUAAUGGCCCACCUAGGCUUCGACGGGUAGCCGGCCUGAGAGGGCGGACGGCCACAUUGGGACUGAGAUACGGCCCAGACUCCUAGGGAGGCAGCAGCC
This 251-nucleotide ribosomal RNA is filed under the name uncultured Gardnerella sp. RNAcentral's name for it is "partial 16S ribosomal RNA". It matches the Rfam family "Bacterial small subunit ribosomal RNA", at positions 103 to 355 of the family's 1533-position model. The record is from RNAcentral. Lineage: Bacteria; Bacillati; Actinomycetota; Actinomycetes; Bifidobacteriales; Bifidobacteriaceae.